GUGAGUCAUCGAAUCUUUGAACGCACAUUGCGCCCGCCAGUAUUCUGGCGGGCAUGCCUGUUCGAGCGUCAUUUCAACCCUCAAACCCCCGGGUUUGGUGUUGGGGAUCGGAUUGCUAGUCAGUCCGGCCCCGAAAUCUAGUGGCGGUCACGCUGCAGCUUCCAUUGCGUAGUAGAUAACACCUCGCAACUGGGACGCGGCGCGGCCAAGCCGUUAAACCCCCCAACUUCUGAAUGUUGACCUCGGAUCAGGUAGGAAUACCCGCUGAACUUAAGCAUAUCAAUAAGCGGAGGA
This 294-nucleotide unclassified non-coding RNA is filed under the name Nectriaceae sp. RNAcentral's name for it is "partial contains 5.8S ribosomal RNA, internal transcribed spacer 2, and large subunit ribosomal RNA". The stretch from base 1 to 71 matches the Rfam family "5.8S ribosomal RNA", at positions 84 to 154 of the family's 154-position model. Lineage: Eukaryota; Fungi; Ascomycota; Sordariomycetes; Hypocreales; Nectriaceae. The record is from RNAcentral.